GCUCCCGUGGUGUAGCCCGGCCUAGCAUACGGGGCUCUCAACCCCGUGACCCGGGUUCAAAUCCCGGCGGUGGCUCCA
RNAcentral lists this transfer RNA (78 nucleotides) under Methanobacteriota archaeon. RNAcentral describes it as "Euryarchaeota archaeon (marine metagenome) tRNA-Glu". It matches the Rfam family "tRNA". From Rfam's summary of the family: Transfer RNA (tRNA) molecules are approximately 80 nucleotides in length. Their secondary structure includes four short double-helical elements and three loops (D, anti-codon, and T loops). Lineage: Archaea; Methanobacteriati; Methanobacteriota. The record is from RNAcentral.